RNAcentral lists this unclassified non-coding RNA (195 nucleotides) under Acrocalymma vagum. RNAcentral describes it as "partial contains 18S rRNA, ITS1, 5.8S rRNA, ITS2 and 28S rRNA". The record is from RNAcentral. Lineage: Eukaryota; Fungi; Ascomycota; Dothideomycetes; Pleosporales; Acrocalymmaceae.
AGGUGAACCUGCGGAAGGAUCAUUAACGAUUUCGGUGUAAAAAACCGUUUUCUACCUAUGUCUACGCGUACCACUUGUUUCCUCGGGGGGCUUGCCCCCCGCUAGGACCCUUUAUCAAACCUUUUUGUAAUAGCAGUCAGCGUCUGAUACUAAGUUAAUUAUUAAAACUUUCAACAAUGGAUCUCUUGGUUCUGG